Molecule: transfer RNA, 73 nt
Filed under: Drosophila ananassae
Lineage: Eukaryota; Metazoa; Arthropoda; Insecta; Diptera; Drosophilidae
Description: tRNA-Val (CAC) (tRNA-Val-CAC-3-1)
Source: RNAcentral
GUUUCCGUAGUGUAGCGGUUAUCACGUGUGCUUCACACGCACAAGGUCCCCGGUUCGAACCUGGGCGGGAACA